RNAcentral lists this ribosomal RNA (3769 nucleotides) under Triticum aestivum (bread wheat). RNAcentral describes it as "partial small subunit ribosomal RNA". The record is from RNAcentral. Lineage: Eukaryota; Viridiplantae; Streptophyta; Magnoliopsida; Poales; Poaceae.
CGUGUGCGGUGCCCCCUUCCACCAUAUUUCACCUCAGUCAUAUCGUAGCAGUGCUUAGGCGAAGCCCUCCGUUGGUAGAGCAUCAUCACCGUCAUCACGCCGUCGUGCUGACGAAACUCUCCCUCAACACUCGGCUGGAUCGGAGCUCGAGGGAUGUCACCGAGUUGAACGUGUGCAGAACUCGAAGGUGUCGUACGUUCAGUACUUGGAUCGGUUGGAUCGGGAAGACGUACGACUACUUCCUCUAUGUUGUGUCAAUGCUUCCGUUGCCGGUCUACGACGGUACGUAGAUAAUACUCUCCCCUCUCGUUGCUAUGCAUCACAAUGAUCUUGCGUGUGCGUUGAAUUUUUUUUUGAAAUUACUACGUUCCCCAACAAUUUUCUAUGGCACGGUGAAGUAUUUUAGAGAUAGACGUCAAAGAGCAGAGCUGCAUAUCAUGAACAACCCAAACACACGUUACUAUGAAAGGGUUAUGAAGUACAUGAAUGAAAAGAUGGAAAAAAGCUAGGUGACACAUUGUAGUCGCCAUUGGAAAUGAAGAAAGAAGGCUUGAGGUCCGCUAACCACUGGUACAUCGAGGUGCUAUAGAAACGGUUUUUAACCCCUUUCCACGACACCGUACCUUGCUUCUACUCAAAAUAUAAGGUAAUUCACGGGUAGAAUUUGAUUAACAUUUAUUUACACAAUCGCAUUAUUAUCGAUAGGUAAAUCACAUGCUAACGUACUAGAAUAUUUAUAUCCUGUUGUAGCGCAUGAACAUUGUUCUAGUAGAUUAAAAAGAACAUAAGGUUCCUGUUUUACUUUUCUUCCCACCACCCCUUCGUCCAACCUUCCCCGUAUAAUAAUCAAUCAUCUUAAUUUACUUACCUUCUGAACCAAUCCCUUUUUAAUUUACUCACCAAACUUGUGAUCAAAAUAUAAGGUAAAUCACGACAGAAUUGGAUGAACAUUUAUUUAGACAAUCGUAUACUAUGGGCAGGUAAAUCACUUCUGAUCAAAAUAUAAGGUAAAUCACGAACAAAAUUUGAUGAACAUUUAUUUACACAAAUCACAUAUUAUGGAAAGGUAAAUCACAUAUUAUGGGAAGGUAAAUCGCAUGUUCUGGUAGAUAUAGAUAUAGGUAGGCAUAGAGAUAUAAAUACAUAUAGACUAGUAAUUGUGUAUCACGUUAAUAUUAAGCAAGAUAUUUAUUGUGUUACAUAUAGUAUUAGGCAAGAUCUCUACUACUUAAAAAGAAUGUAAGGUUCUCAUUUUACCUUUCUUCCCACCACCCCUUUGUCCAACCUUCCAUGUAUAUAAUAAUCAAUCACCUUAAUUUACUUAGGGCAUGUACAAUGGUUGAUAAGAUAGUAUUAUCUUAAAUCUUGCAUGUAGUUUACUUAGGGCAUGUACAAUGGUUGAUAAGAUAGUAUUAUCUUAAAUCUUGCAUGUAGUUUAGAGAUGCCAAAAAAUAAUGUCUACAAUGGGUCAUCUCUUAGUCUUAUCUGUAAUAACUAGUUAUUCUUAAAAAUGUGGUGAGACAUAUUGUUUUAAGAGAUCAUCUCUUGUCUUCUCUUAAAUAAGAGAAGACAAGCCUUUUCUUAUGAGUUCUCUUUCCCUCGCCUCAUUAUUUAUCCUACAUGACACUCCUAAGAUAGCACCAUUGUACAUGCCCUUAUCUUCUAAACCAAUUCCACUUUAAUUUACUUACCAAACUUCUAACCAAAAUAUAAGAUAAUUCACAGACAGAAUUUGAUGAACAUUUAUUUAUACAAUCGCAUUAUUAUUGUUCUAGUAGAUUAAAAAGAACAUGAGGUUCCUGUUUCACCUGUUUCCCGUCACCCCUUCAUCCAACCUUCCCCGUAUAAUAAUUAAUCAUCUUAAUUUACGUACCUUCUAAACCAAUUCCAUUUUAAUUUACUUGUGAUCAAAAUAUAAGGUAAAUCAUGGCAGAAUUGGAUGAACAAUUAUUUACACAAUCGUAUACUAUGGGCCGGUAAAUCACUUCUGAUCAAAAUAUAAGGUAACUCAGACAAAAUUUGAUGAACAUUUAUUUACACAAAUCGCAUAUUAUGGGCAGGUAAAUCAUAAGAUAACGUACUGACGUCUAGAAUAUUUAUAUCUCAUCGUAACGCACGGGCAUUGUUCUAGUAGAUAUUGAUAUAAAUAGACAUAAAUAUAUAAAUACAUAUAGACUAGUAAUUGUGCAUCACAUUAAUAUUAGGCAAGAUAUUUAUUGUGUUACAUAUAAUAUUAGGCAAGAUAUAAAUUCCAUGUUAAUAUUAGGUAGGAUGUAAUUACUUGGUCAAUCCUGGCGUUUAUAUUAGGAAUGAUAUUAAUUAAUGAAUUGUGCUAAAAAAUGUGUAAAGAUGCUUAACAUACCUGAGGGACAUAGACAGUUGGAUAGAUGCAGUUGGACGGAAUGUGAUUUGUUGGAUAAGCGACUGAUCAGCACAGACGCGCUGGCCCAAAGUUUCGGCCGAUCGCACGCCAACCGCCCGAUUGGCCCACUCCGAGACGUUGGAUCCUCAUCCAUCCAGGUUACCUUCUUCCUUCUUACCCCGUUCACGUUCAUAUCUGAACAAAACACCGCAAGUCAUGGCAGCCGCCCACCAUCGCCGCGUCACGCAGCGCACUGCCGCCCUCCCCCAUUUGUCGCCGUCGACAGCCACCGCCGUGCUCGUCGCUGAUGCUCGUCGUCAAUGGUCGCAACAAAAAAAAGUUGUCAAAAAGCAGCUUUGUGUCGCCACCCCUGUUGAAUCAUUUGAAAACCUUGUUUCAGCAAUUUGAAGCUAUGGUUGUAGCAAAAGUCCCUGCUCCAGCAAAGAAUUAAACUCCGGUGGAAGCAUGUUCGCAUACUGGUUCCAACAAAACAAAAUUGUGGCUGUAUCAAAAAAUCGUUUGUACAACAAGAACAUAUUCUAGUUGGAGCAUCUUUGCGUGCUGGUUCCAGCAAACCUGGUCGUGAUUGAAGCACUCCCCCGCCCCUCUGGACAAACUCACCGUGGUUACCCUGCAGCUCGCCAAGAUCACCAGUUACCAAAAAACCGGGCACAGUGGCAGCUCCUCCCUCAACUGUUGUAGCAUCUCGUGUGCUCCGCCGUCGCGCCUGCCGGUCGAGGUAGUAACAACUCCUUUCCUGAUUGCAGCUUGCCCCGCAACGGUUGUAGCAUCCACAUAAGCCGGUGGUAGCUCGUCAGCUUGCGGUUGCAGCUCGUCUGUUCCCCGGUUCCAUCACUCGUGCCGGGUGUAGUCGCCGGUUGUAGCAAAAAUCAUGGUGGUCGUCGCCGCCGCCGCGCUGGUUCCCGCACAAAUCAAAAGUGGUUCCAUCAAAAAAAUACAGCAACUUACCACGGCCAUCGCCCUCGCCGCCCACCACCGUCCUCGCCAGUAGAAGCAACCCCCUCCCCCCCCGCCGGUUGAAGCAAUUCCCCCGCUGGUUCUAGCACAGGGGGAAAAAGGUGGCAUUUCUCUUCAUCAAACGGGGGAAAAGGGUGGUGGGGCAGCCGUGUCCAUCACACGAUAGAAGAAGAAAAACGCAGGAGGCGGUGACCAUGGCCGGCAGGCACCGCAUCGCCGGUGGCAGAGGAUCUCAGCGGUGAUGUGCGGAGUGAGGUGGAAGCGAGCGGCAAAGCGGAGGGAAUGGCUGCGAUGCCAGAUGUGUGGAUGAGUGGAUCUGGUCGCUGGUUAUCUGAAGAGAUAAGGUAAGUUGAAGGAGGAGGGCAGUGGGUGGGGUCACUUGAGGAUGCGCGUGCAUGACGACCGUGCGCGACCAGCACAAUUUCCAGU